CUUGGUCAUUUAGAGGAAGUAAAAGUCGUAACAAGGUCUCCGUUGGUGAACCAGCGGAGGGAUCAUUACAGAGUUGCAAAACUCCCUAAACCAUUGUGAACGUUACCUAAACCGUUGCUUCGGCGGGCGGCGCCGGGGUUUACCCCCCGGGCGCCCCUGGGCCCCACCGCGGGCGCCCGCCGGAGGUCACCAAACUCUUGAUAAUUUAUGGCCUCUCUGAGUCUUCUGUACUGAAUAAGUCAAAACUUUCAACAACGGAUCUCUUGGUUCUGGCAUCGAUGAAGAACGCAGCGAAAUGCGAUAAGUAAUGUGAAUUGCAGAAUUCAGUGAAUCAUCGAAUCUUUGAACGCACAUUGCGCCCGCCAGUAUUCUGGCGGGCAUGCCUGUUCGAGCGUCAUUUCAACCAUCAAGCCCCGGGCUUGUGUUGGGGACCUGCGGCUGCCGCAGGCCCUGAAAAGCAGUGGCGGGCUCGCUGUCACACCGAGCGUAGUAGCAUACAUCUCGCUCUGGGCGUGCUGCGGGUUCCGGCCGUUAAACCACCUUUUAACCCAAGGUUGACCUCGGAUCAGGUAGGAAUACCCGCUGAACUUAAGCAUAUCAAUAAGCGGAGGA
RNAcentral lists this ribosomal RNA (612 nucleotides) under uncultured fungus. RNAcentral describes it as "eukaryotic LSU rRNA". The stretch from base 244 to 397 matches the Rfam family "5.8S ribosomal RNA". Lineage: Eukaryota; Fungi. The record is from RNAcentral.